This 71-nucleotide transfer RNA is filed under the name Archaeoglobus profundus. RNAcentral describes it as "tRNA-Gly". It matches the Rfam family "tRNA". Rfam says of the family: Transfer RNA (tRNA) molecules are approximately 80 nucleotides in length. Their secondary structure includes four short double-helical elements and three loops (D, anti-codon, and T loops). Lineage: Archaea; Methanobacteriati; Methanobacteriota; Archaeoglobi; Archaeoglobales; Archaeoglobaceae. The record is from RNAcentral.
GCGGUCGUAGUCUAGUGGUAGGACGCGGGCCCCCCAAGCCCGUUGCCCGGGUUCGAAUCCCGGCGGCCGCA